GGUGAGGUGUCCGAGCGGCCUAAGGACCUGGUCUUGAAAACCAGUGCACGUACUGCGUGCCGUGGGUUCGAAUCCCACCCUCACCG
This 86-nucleotide transfer RNA is filed under the name Actinomycetes bacterium. RNAcentral's name for it is "tRNA-Ser". It matches the Rfam family "tRNA". Rfam says of the family: Transfer RNA (tRNA) molecules are approximately 80 nucleotides in length. Their secondary structure includes four short double-helical elements and three loops (D, anti-codon, and T loops). Lineage: Bacteria; Bacillati; Actinomycetota; Actinomycetes. RNAcentral also lists the same sequence under 1 other name. The record is from RNAcentral.